UCCACUUGGCCUCACAGGAACUGAAGGACAGCAUAAAGAGUUGUGAGGUGCAGUUGUGGGGUUUGUUGGGGAGGCGUCUGUGGUCCUGGUUCCCCUAUUUUUGCUCUGGCAUAGCUGAUACUGAGGCAAGGCCCAGCAUACCAAGGAAUUAAAAGUGAAAAUCUUUGGAGAAGAAGAACCACUCUGACAAACAGGCUUUCUUCUCACAGCAUGAUGAGAGAACCACAGGGAAUGCCACAGCUGGCCUCUGUCCUGCCCCCAGUGACACUUUUCCAGAAGAGAGCAAUGUGAGUGCCCAGGGAUGCAGAAUUGUCAACUAUGGAAAAGAAAGAAGCACCACAGUCCUCCCUAACCUAAAGGAGAAAGCAGUAGAGAAGUAGGCUGUCAAAUCAUGAAGAUUGUUAUUAAAAACAUUGUGCUCACUGGAAGCAAGCUGAGGGGUUGGGCAGUCAGAGAGAGAUCCUCAGCCCACUGCUAACCCUACGAAGCCAUGGGAGCUGUGUUGGCUUGUUUGGGGUUGGUAUUCUCAAAUCCAGUAAAACGAGUUGCUUCUCCCCUACGUAUCUCACUGUAAUCAGUUCUGGUGAAACAUCAGAAGGCAGCAUUCAGAAUUGUGAUCAAAUUGAAUAAUUUAAUAUCUUUGAGCAUGUUUACUGAGCCUCACCUCUUCCAUUUUAUGCACAGCACAUUGGCUGUAGGCUUCUCUCACAAUUACAGUAAUUUAUUAUGCAAUAUCUGUAGCAGAUGCUGAGCUUGAUUCUAUUGUUGUCUGCCUUUUGGUUGUUUUUUUGAAUUUUUAGCUAUUGGAGCAUGUCAGGAGCAUAGGUUUUGUCUGUUCAAUCCAUGUUCCCACCCCAUGCCUGUAACUGUGGUAUCUCCAGCAUAAUACCACCUGUCCUGAAAGGGAGGGCUAUGGCUGCUAAAUUCAA
Molecule: long non-coding RNA, 929 nt
Organism: Phasianus colchicus (ring-necked pheasant)
Lineage: Eukaryota; Metazoa; Chordata; Aves; Galliformes; Phasianidae
Source: RefSeq, a predicted model, not a curated record